AUUCCGUGUUGAGGACACUCCCUUUGGUAUUCCUUGAAUAGAUCCCAAACUUCAAAUAGGGAUUCAUCACGUUUUUGCUCAAAGGAUUGAAUUUUGUGCCGAUACU
Spinacia oleracea (spinach) is the source of this 106-nucleotide non-coding RNA. Lineage: Eukaryota; Viridiplantae; Streptophyta; Magnoliopsida; Caryophyllales; Amaranthaceae. The record is from Rfam.